RNAcentral lists this long non-coding RNA (367 nucleotides) under Vitis vinifera (wine grape). RNAcentral's name for it is "long non-coding RNA (VVIN_LNC002521)". The record is from RNAcentral. Lineage: Eukaryota; Viridiplantae; Streptophyta; Magnoliopsida; Vitales; Vitaceae.
AUACCACCCACCCCCAUUUCUCAUUUCCCUCUCCGUAUAUAUAGAGAGCCUCUCUCUCCUCGCCUUCAACAUCUGCCUUCUUCAAACCCUUUGUUUUUCAUCUCCUACUCCACUCCAACUCUCCGACAUCCUACAUUUCGUGCCAAUCUUCAAUUUUCCCCCUCUUUCACUCCAACCAAACAGCUCUUGCCUCAUUUUUCUAACAUCUUGUAUCCCGUUUUCCUAGCAUCCAAACACCUCGCGUCUUGUUUCUGUUCCUUUAUUGUUAUAAAUUUUAUGAUGGACAACCCUGCAGGGUGGGCCAAUAAGCGAGUUAGGGAGGAGGACUCAGAUCCUGACUCUGUCGAGUCGAAGCGGAUCCGAGUUG